CGUGCGCCGGCCGAGAGGUGUCGGCGGCGAGGCAAAGGAAGUUUCAAGUGGAAGGUCGUCCGUCGGCCGGCGCGUCCUCCUGCUCUCCUCCGCAGCAUCAUGGCGGAGCCGAGCGGCUCGCCCGUGCACGUCCAGCUUCCCCAGCAGGCGGCCCCGGUGACAGCGGCGGCGGCGGCGGCCCCAGCGGCCGCGACAGCAGCGCCGGCCCCGGCAGCUCCCGCGGCCCCGGCCCCGGCCCCAGCCCCGGCGGCACAGGCUGUCGGCUGGCCCAUCUGCAGGGACGCGUACGAGCUGCAGGAGGUUAUCGGCAGUGGAGCUACUGCUGUGGUUCAGGCAGCCCUAUGCAAACCCAGGCAAGAACGUGUAGCAAUAAAACGGAUCAACUUGGAAAAAUGCCAGACCAGUAUGGAUGAACUAUUAAAAGAAAUUCAAGCCAUGAGUCAGUGCAGCCAUCCCAACGUAGUGACUUAUUACACCUCUUUUGUGGUCAAAGAUGAACUUUGGCUGGUCAUGAAAUUACUAAGUGGAGGUUCAAUGUUGGAUAUCAUAAAAUACAUUGUCAACCGAGGAGAACACAAGAAUGGAGUUCUGGAAGAGGCAAUAAUAGCAACAAUUCUUAAAGAGGUUUUGGAAGGCUUAGACUAUCUACACAGAAACGGUCAGAUUCACAGGGAUUUGAAAGCUGGUAAUAUUCUUCUGGGUGAGGAUGGUUCAGUACAAAUAGCAGAUUUUGGGGUAAGUGCGUUCCUAGCAACAGGGGGUGAUGUUACCCGAAAUAAAGUAAGAAAAACGUUCGUUGGCACCCCAUGUUGGAUGGCUCCUGAAGUCAUGGAACAGGUGAGAGGCUAUGACUUCAAGGCUGACAUGUGGAGUUUUGGAAUAACUGCCAUUGAAUUAGCAACAGGAGCAGCGCCUUAUCACAAAUAUCCUCCCAUGAAAGUGUUAAUGUUGACUUUGCAAAAUGAUCCACCCACUUUGGAAACAGGGGUAGAGGAUAAAGAAAUGAUGAAAAAGUACGGCAAGUCCUUUAGAAAAUUACUUUCACUGUGUCUUCAGAAAGAUCCUUCCAAAAGGCCCACAGCAGCAGAACUUUUAAAAUGCAAAUUCUUCCAGAAAGCCAAGAACAGAGAGUACCUGAUUGAGAAGCUGCUUACAAGAACACCAGACAUAGCCCAAAGAGCCAAAAAGGUAAGAAGAGUUCCUGGGUCAAGUGGUCACCUUCAUAAAACCGAAGACGGGGACUGGGAGUGGAGUGACGACGAGAUGGAUGAGAAGAGCGAAGAAGGGAAAGCAGCUUUUUCUCAGGAAAAGUCACGAAGAGUAAAAGAAGAAAAUCCAGAGAUUGCAGUGAAUGCCAGCACCAUCCCCGAACAAAUACAGUCCCUCUCUGUGCACGACUCUCAGGGCCCACCCAAUGCUAAUGAAGACUACAGAGAAGCUUCUUCUUGUGCCGUGAACCUCGUUUUGAGAUUAAGGUGAAGAAAUCUGGAUAAAAAAUUUAUUGGGAAGGAUUUCAUGUUUUGAACUGUUGUCCAGUGAGGUUAUAUGGCAGUAAUUUUCUCCAGUAGGGAAUUCCUAAAGUUAUCCCAUUUUGAAGAAGAAACUCCAGAAAGGAACUUAAUGACAUCCGAUUCGAGUUUACUCCAGGAAGAGAUACAGCAGAUGGUGUAUCUCAGGAGCUCUUCUCUGCUGGCUUGGUGGAUGGUCACGAUGUAGUUAUAGUGGCUGCUAAUUUACAGAAGAUUGUAGAUGAUCCCAAAGCUUUAAAAACAUUGACAUUUAAGUUGGCUUCUGGCUGUGAUGGUUCGGAGAUUCCUGAUGAAGUGAAGCUGAUUGGGUUUGCUCAGUUGAGUGUCAGCUGAUGUAUGUCCCUUGAUGUCACCCUGAUCUGUCAUGUCCCACCCCCACCCCUACUCCCUUCAACCCUCCCUCUUUCUGCCCAUUUCGUCCCACCCCCUCACUCCCAUUUCCUAGCAAAUUCAGAAGAUUGUGAAGAGGCCGGCUUCAACAAAAUGGGAUAAAAAAAUAAUUUUUUAAAACUUACUACACUCCGAGUUCUGCUUUAUUCUCUAGCAAUCCACAGUACAAGAACAAGCAAAUGCCACAGCUGCACGACUGUUGCUAAUUUUUCCAAAAGCUAUUUAAUAUUCUUAGCAAUCAAUUUGGAUAUCCCUUAAGUGAAAAGAAUCUGAAAUACACUCAGGUGGUCUUAUUUAUUGGCAACAAAAGGAAUUUUCUAUCCAGAAGCCUAUUUCUCCUUUCAUUGUUGUUAUUUCUGUUAUAAUACUUUAAUUGUACAUCUGACAAUACUGCCUCUUUUAUGUUGUAUUUAGAAAUUAAUAUACUUAUAAAAUUAAGAUUUAUUAGCCAAACUUGAAUUCUAGUUUUAAAACUGACUGUGAAUUUUAUUUUUCAUAUAUUUAUGCAUUACACACCUUAGCUAUAAGAAAAAAAGGGUUUUGAUUAUAUGCUUCUUGCAGUUAAUCUUGUUAUUUAAACAAAAAGUUUUGGGUCUAUCUUUGGAGUAUUUGUAACUUCUAAAUUUUGAAAUGACUGAAUUAGGAAUUUGGAUGCUUAUUCUUUUAGUCUGUUUGCCUAAAAACCAAUUUACAAUCUGACUGUCUCUUGGGAGAGGGAGGUGCCUUGCAAACUUUCACAUUAAGAAUGUGCCUGAGGCUGCUUUACUCUGGAAUAGUCUCAGAUCUAAAAUUUCCUCUAUAUAAGGUGGCAUAUGUUAAGUUUUGCUUCAUUGGACCGUUUAGAAUGCUAUGUAAAAUGUUGCCAUUCUGUUAGAUUGCUAACUAUAUACCCAUCUCUGAUUUGGCUCUCCUUAAGUGAUAGGGUUUGUUAUUCUAAAGGUGAUAAACUUGAAAAUAUCAGAAUCUGAGUUUUACUUGAAAUUUUGCAGAAUACCCAGGUGGAGUGAAAAUUGGAAGGGUUUUGUGCAGUGACUAAAAGGUAAAACGCUGUUAAGGUUCAAGAAUCAAUACUUUCAACCCAAGUAGCGCUCUGCUUGACUGUAUAUUAUGGAACUAGUAAACCUUAGGAUUUUGAAAAUUGGAGUCUAAUCUUUCAGGGAGGUGGGCUCCCAGGAUGGUACCAUUGCUCUUUCCUAGCUAACCCUAGAUAUGGCAGCUCUUUAAAGUACUUUAAAAAGCAAAUAUAUAUUACUAAGGAAAAAAAGUUAUUUAUAAUUGCCUUGUCAUAAUUGUUAAGGUGUUCUAGAGCCAUUUGCAUACAAUUUAAUGUAAUUUCAUUCCAUUCUAUUGUUUACACAACGAUUACUCGAAGAUGACUGCAAAGGUAAAAGGAAAAUAAAAGUGUAUUGCACAACGA
Molecule: RNA transcript, 3336 nt
Organism: Pan troglodytes (chimpanzee)
Lineage: Eukaryota; Metazoa; Chordata; Mammalia; Primates; Hominidae
Gene: STK39
Gene name: serine/threonine kinase 39
Exons: 19
Source: RefSeq, a predicted model, not a curated record